This 427-nucleotide ribosomal RNA is filed under the name uncultured bacterium. Its description in RNAcentral is "bacterial SSU rRNA". It matches the Rfam family "Bacterial small subunit ribosomal RNA", at positions 355 to 774 of the family's 1533-position model. The record is from RNAcentral.
UGGGGAAUUUUGGACAAUGGACGCAAGUCUGAUCCAGCCAUGCCGCGUGCGGGAAGAAGGCCUUCGGGUUGUAAACCGCUUUUGUCGGGGAAGAAACGAGUUUCUCUAAUACAGAGACUUAAUGACGGUACCUGAAGAAUAAGCACCGGCUAACUACGUGCCAGCAGCCGCGGUAAUACGUAGGGUGCGAGCGUUAAUCGGAAUUACUGGGCGUAAAGCGUGCGCAGGCGGUUAUGCAAGGCAGAUGUGAAAUCCCCGGGCUUAACCUGGGAACUGCAUUUGUGACUGCAUAGCUAGAGUACGGUAGAGGGGGAUGGAAUUCCGCGUGUAGCAGUGAGAUGCGUAGAUAUGCGGAGGAACACCGAUGGCGAAGGCAAUCCCCUGGACCUGUACUGACGCUCAUGCACGAAAGCGUGGGGAGCAAACA